AACUGGUAGCUUUAAGCGGCUCACCUUUAGCAUCAACAGGCCACAACCAACCAGAACGUGAAAAAGCGUCCUGCGUGUAGCGAACUGCGAUGGGCAUACUGUAACCAUAAGGCCACGUAUUUUGCAAGCUAUUUAACUGGCGGCGAUUGCGUACCCGACGACCAAAAUUAGGGUCAACGCUACCUGUAGGAAGUGUCCGGAUAAAGUGCACCGCAUGGAAAUGAAGACGGCCAUUAGCUGUACCAUACUCAGGCACACAAAAAUACUGAUAGCAGUCGGCGUGUGAAUCAUUAGCCUUGCGACCCUCGGCAGCAAGAACCAUACGACCAAUAUCACGAAAAUAGUCACGCAAAGCAUUG
RNAcentral lists this ribosomal RNA (359 nucleotides) under uncultured prokaryote. Its description in RNAcentral is "partial 16S ribosomal RNA". The record is from RNAcentral.